AUUGAACGCUGGCGGCAGGCCUAACACAUGCAAGUCGAGCGGAUGAAGGGAGCUUGCUCCUGGAUUCAGCGGCGGACGGGCGAGUAAUGCCUAGGAAUAUGCCCGGUAGUGGGGGAUAACGUAAGGAAACGGGCGCUAAUACCGCAUACGAACUGAGGGAGAAAGUGGGGGAUCAUCGGAGAUAACGCUAUUAGAUGAGACUAGGUCGGAUUAGCUAGUUGGUGGGGUAAAGGCGUACCAAGGCGACGAUCCGUAACUGGCCUGAGAGGAUGAUCAGACACACUGGAACUGAGACACGGUCCAGACUCCUACGGGAGGCAGCAGUGGGGAAUAUUCGACAAUGGGCGAAAGCCUGAUCCAGCCAUGCCGCGUGUGUGAAGAAGGUCUUCGGAUUGUAAAGCACUUUAAGUUGGGAGGAACAGCAGUAUGUUAAUACCUUGCUGUUUUGACGUUACCAACAGAAUAAGCACCGGCUAACUUCGUG
RNAcentral lists this ribosomal RNA (484 nucleotides) under uncultured bacterium. Its description in RNAcentral is "partial 16S ribosomal RNA". It matches the Rfam family "Bacterial small subunit ribosomal RNA", at positions 30 to 507 of the family's 1533-position model. The record is from RNAcentral.